RNAcentral lists this ribosomal RNA (253 nucleotides) under uncultured bacterium. RNAcentral's name for it is "partial 16S ribosomal RNA". It matches the Rfam family "Bacterial small subunit ribosomal RNA", at positions 524 to 776 of the family's 1533-position model. The record is from RNAcentral.
UACGUAGGGUGCGAGCGUUGUCCGGAAUUAUUGGGCGUAAAGGGCUCGUAGGCGGUUUGUCGCGUCGGGAGUGAAAACACACAGCUUAACUGUGUGCUUGCUUCCGAUACGGGCAGACUGGAGUACUGCAGGGGAGACUGGAAUUCCUGGUGUAGCGGUGGAAUGCGCAGAUAUCAGGAGGAACACCGGUGGCGAAGGCGGGUCUCUGGGCAGUAACUGACGCUGAGGAGCGAAAGCGUGGGGAGCGAACAGG